Molecule: ribosomal RNA, 1847 nt
Filed under: Ochromonas sp. CCMP1393
Lineage: Eukaryota; Chrysophyceae; Chromulinales; Chromulinaceae
Description: partial Bacterial large subunit ribosomal RNA
Rfam family: Bacterial large subunit ribosomal RNA
Source: RNAcentral
UAAGCUACUAAGGGCACAUGGUGGAUGCCUAGGCAGCAAGAGGCGAUGAAGGACGUAGGAGCCUGCGAAAAGCCUCGGGGAGCGGGCAAGCACGCUAUGAUCCGAGGAUGUCCGAAUGGGGAAACCCGGCUCGGAGAACCGAGUCACCCGCAAGGGAGCCAACCCAGGGAACUGAAACAUCUAAGUACCUGGUGGAAAGGAAAUCAAUAGAGACUCCGUCAGUAGCGGCGAGCGAACGCGGAAAAGCCCAAACCGUCCCAGGUUUCUGGGGCGGGGUUGUAGGACCUACACAACGGUACAUGCAAGGCUAGCAGAAGUGGUUGGAAAGCCACGGCACAGAGGGUGACACCCCCGUAUGCGAAAGUUGAGCAUGGCCAGUAGGAUUCCUGAGUACCCUCGGGCACGUGAAACCCGGGGGGAAUCUGGGAGGACCAUCUUCCAAGGCUAAGUACUACUUGCUGACCGAUAGUGAACAAGUACCGUGAGGGAAAGGUGAAAAGAACGCCGAGAAGGCGAGUGAAAUAGUACCUGAAACCGUGUGCUUACAAGCGGUCGGAGCUGCAUUUAUGUAGUGACGGCGUGCCUUUUGUAUAAUGAGCCUACGAGUUGCUCCUGUUGUGCGAGGUUAAGCCCCUAAGGGGUGGAGCCGUAGCGAAAGCGAGUCUGAAUAGGGCGUUUGUCAGUGUUUAUAGACCCGAACCCGGGUGAUCUAACCAUGGCCAGGAUGAAGCUUGGGUGAUACCAAGUGGAGGUCCGAACCGACUGAUGUUGAAAAAUCAGCGGAUGAGCUGUGGUUAGGGGUGAAAUGCCAAUCGAACCCGGAGCUAGCUGGUUCUCCCCGAAAUACGUUGAGGCGUAGCGUCUCGUGCUCCAGCAGGGGGGUAAAGCCACCAUUUCGGUGCGGGCUGCGAGAGCGGUACCAAAUCGAGAUGAACUCUGAAUACCCUGUGUGUAGCGAGGCAGUCAGACUGUGGGGGAUAAGCUCCAUGGUCGAGAGGGAAACAGCCCAGACCGCCAGCUAAGGUCCCCAAAUCAACACUAAGUGAUAAAGGAGGUGGGAUUGCCCAGACAACCAGGAGGUUUGCCUAGAAGCAGCCAUCCUCAAAGGAGUGCGUAAUAGCUCACUGGUCGAGCGAUCCUGCGCCGAAAAUGAAUGGGGCUAAGUGUUGUACCGAAGCUGCGGAUUUAUGGUAGGGGAGCGUUCUAUGUGGGGCGAAGCGUUAGCGUGAGCGGGCGUGGACUGCAUAGAAGUGAGAAUGUCGGCUUGAGUAGCGAAAACAUGGGUGAGAAUCCCAUGCACCGAAACCCUAAGGGUUCCUCCGGCAGGCUCGUCCGCGGAGGGUUAGUCUGGACCUAAGGCGAGGCCGAAAGGCGUAGUCGAUGGACAGCAGAUUAAUAUUUCUGCCCCGCUUUUGUGGAGUGAUGGGGUGACGCAUUAGGAUAGGCCAACCGGAGCUAUGGCUAUGCCCGGCGGGUAACGAAGCUUUUCAGGAUAGGAAAAUCCGCCUGAUACUAGAGUGACGUUAUUCGGGAAGGCCCCAAGGGGCUGAUAACUGGUUGAAUCCACGGUGCCAAGAAAAACCUCUAAACGUUGAAGCAAGAGCGCCCGUACCGAUAACCGACACAGGUGGGCGAGUGUAAAAGCACUAAGGCGCGCGAGAAAACUCUCUCUAAGGAACUCUGCAAAAUGGCCCCGUAACUUCGGGAGAAGGGGUCCCGUGUGUACCGUGAGGCAACUUGCGGGAGACGGGCACAGUAAAUCGGCUCUAGCGACUGUUUACCACAAUCACAGCACUCUGCAAACCCGCGUAGGGGACGUAUAGGGUGUGACACCUGCCCGGUGCCGG